GCCCAGAUAGCUCAGUGGCAGAGCACUUGCUUGGUAAGUAAGAGGUCGACGGUUCAAUUCCGUUUCUGGGCU
This 72-nucleotide transfer RNA is filed under the name hydrothermal vent metagenome. RNAcentral describes it as "tRNA-Thr-GGT". It matches the Rfam family "tRNA". Rfam says of the family: Transfer RNA (tRNA) molecules are approximately 80 nucleotides in length. Their secondary structure includes four short double-helical elements and three loops (D, anti-codon, and T loops). The record is from RNAcentral.